Molecule: ribosomal RNA, 450 nt
Filed under: uncultured bacterium
Lineage: Bacteria
Description: bacterial SSU rRNA
Rfam family: Bacterial small subunit ribosomal RNA
Source: RNAcentral
ACGAACGCUGGCGGCAUGCCUAACACAUGCAAGUCGAACGCUUGUCUUUCAGCAAUGGGAGGCGGGAGUGGCGGACGGGUGAGUAACGCGUGGGAACCUGCCCAGGGGUGCGGGACAACACCGGGAAACCGGUGCUAAUACCGCAUGAUGCACCCGCAAGGGAUGCUAAAGAUUUAUCGCCUUUGGAGGGGCCCGCGUCGGAUUAGGUAGUUGGUGGGGUAACGGCCUACCAAACCUACGAUCCGUAGCUGGUCUGAGAGGAUGGCCAGCCACACUGGGACUGAGACACGGCCCAGACUCCUACGGGAGGCAGCAGUGGGGAAUCUUGGACAAUGGGGGCAACCCUGAUCCAGCGAUGCCGCGUGGGUGAUGAAGGCCUUCGGGUUGUAAAGCCCUUUCGGCGGGGACGAUAGUGACGGUACCCGCAGAAGAAGCCUCGGCUAACUCCGU